AGGUCAAAAUAAGGUUAAGUUAGUAAGGGCGCACGGUGGAUGCCUUGGCACUAGGAGCCGAAGAAGGACGUGACAAACGACGAAAUGCCUUGGGGAGCUGUAAGUAAGCGUU
This 112-nucleotide ribosomal RNA is filed under the name Streptococcus intermedius. RNAcentral describes it as "partial 23S ribosomal RNA". The stretch from base 13 to 112 matches the Rfam family "Bacterial large subunit ribosomal RNA", at positions 1 to 100 of the family's 2925-position model. Lineage: Bacteria; Bacillati; Bacillota; Bacilli; Lactobacillales; Streptococcaceae. The record is from RNAcentral.